CUGCGCAGGUGUGUGGUUUUCUUACCUAUGGAGGUGUGUUGACUGUUGUUACCUGCGCAGGUGUGUGGUGUUGUUACCUGAGGAGGUGUGCAGGAAUGUUAACAUCCAGCAGCACACAGCGGCUCUCCACAUGCGUGUAGCCGGGCUGCACAUGGCGUCUCUCGCCUGUUGACAGUACAAUGCUCCUCGCAGAACUAUUUUGGCGGCUAAAAAGUCUCUCUCGUCUCUCACUCAACCAUCGCAACUGGCUCCGGUCCAGCUGCUCCACGGUCGACGAGCCGUGCACGUCAGCGACAGGUUGCCAUUGUUUAAUCCGCUCGUCGGUGCUUCUGCUUCAGCCAUGCCGGCAGAAGACGACCCGCUGCGUGGACUCGACGUUCGGCCUCAGCAGUCGUUGGUUGGCUUACACGCUGGGAAGAAAAGAAGGAGAUACAGAGCAGGAAAAUCCUAAACUCUUCCAAACUCAACCGUCCUCGCUAUUUUGGCUCAUCGUCGCAGUUCAGAGGCUCCGCCCCCACAAGCUGUUGCGCUCGGCCAGCGGCACGAUGCUGACCCCUGGUGGUGGACUCAAUCCAAGCGUAAACCCGAACCACAAGAUGGGUUCGAAAAGCUUAAUUGUCAUGCCUUAAACGUCGGGUCGCGGGGGCAGCAGCCUAAGCAGGGAAGCCCAAACUUCCCUCUACCCAGCCACUUCGUCUUAACUCUUCCCGGGGGGUCCCGCGGCGUUCCCAGGCCAGCCGGGAGACAUAGUCUUCCCAACGUGUCCUGGGUCUUCCCCGUGGCCUCCUACCGGUUGGACGUGCCCUAAACACCUCCGUAGAGGCGUUCGGGUGGCAUCCCGACCAGAUGCCCGAGCCACCUCAUCUGGCUCCUCUCGAUGUGGAGGAGCAGCGGUUUUACUUUGAGCUCCUCUCGGAUGUCAGAGCUUCUAACCCUAUCUCAGAGGUAGGGAACCUAUGGCUCGCGAGCCAGAUGUGGCUCUUUUGAUGACUGCAUCUGGCUCUCGGAUAAAUCUGAGCUGACAUUGCUUAACAUGAUAAGUAAUGAAUGAUUCCACUUGUAAUCACAGUGUUAAAAAUAACAUUCAAAAUAUAAAA
Molecule: long non-coding RNA, 1097 nt
Organism: Nerophis ophidion (straightnose pipefish)
Lineage: Eukaryota; Metazoa; Chordata; Actinopteri; Syngnathiformes; Syngnathidae
Exons: 2
Source: RefSeq, a predicted model, not a curated record